AGUGUGGAGCACACAUUUAGUCAGAAUAGAUGUGUAAUUAAUAUUUUAAAGCUUUACACAAUGCACAUGAAAAUGUAACAGAUCCAUCUUCAUCUGUUCUCUUAGUGAGCGUUUUUCAAGCAUGGGAUACAAAGAUGAAUAAAAACAGACAGAGUCAUGUACCCUUGGAGUUUGCAUUUAGUGUGGGUACGAGACAGCAGACAGAAGCAGCAGGUGGAUGGUGGAGCGAUUCUGAGCACAGAAGACAACCUCCAGGAGGAGAGGAACUGCCGGGAGCAUGUUAGUUGUUUAAAUGUCUGCUCACAUUUCACUGAACUAAGAGCCUGUGAGACAAUUGAUUGUCACACAAUACUAAAUACACAGUUCAAAAUCCACCAUAUGCUGAAUGAAAUUCAAUAUGCAACACCUUAGCCUCAAAUCCGCCAGUGGAACCAGGUGGGAAAACUCAUGAAAGAAGAAUGACGGGUUUGAAAUCUUAGUGUCCAAAAAAGACACGAUUCUUGAAGUGUAUGAAUGGAGACCCAUAGUAGACUGUCUGAGGAUGGACGUGCUGGUCUGGACUUUCUUCUACUCAAAUGUGUCAUCCAUGAAACCUCACGGCUCCAAAACACAGGAUGCCUUGCUCUUCCUUCACUUUCUCAGUCAGUACAACAAGCAAAUAAGCUAACCAUUCAGGAGAUGACAACGCAAAUACAUUUAUGUGAGAGUAGUCAUGACACUUUGCUUUAAUGGACAAGGGUUUUGGGGACAGUAAAAAUGCAUGUGCAUGAUGAAGCAUGGACCGAUGAUGCGGUACGGUGUUUGGAAUUUGUUUUUAUAUUUAGGUAUUAGGAUGAGGCAUAAAGAAGGGUGGGAGAUUAAAGAAGUUGAGUCCUAUUGAUGACACUUGAGGUUGGGUGAUGGGUGCAGGUCGUUCUUUGACUCAUUCUCUGUAGUUUGUGUAACUUCAAAAUUGUCCACAAUAUAGUUUUUAAAUUCUCUACUCCUGUCUGAUACUGUGGGUAUGUCCUGCUAAGAGACACUCAGAGUUGGCAAAAUGUGUGUUUUCACCAUGAUUUCAAGUUUAAGCCCAUCUAUUCCCAAUAGACAGAAGACAAGUUGGCUUGGAAGCCAUGAAAGGGACAGGAAUGCCCGCUUUUGAAACUAUAGGCAAGUGAGGGAGCUGAGGAGUUGAGUUUUAUGCAAACAGAAGUGAGGAGUUACUGAAGGGUGUUAGGCAGGGGGUUGAUCCACCUGAGCUGGGUGGGAAGGGUCCCUCUGAAGGCCUCAAGGAGAAAGUGUCUGAGGGGAGCAGAGGUCCUGGUCACAGGUCAUUACUAAGAGGCCCUGUGAGUCUAGACAUGUGGGGACCAUGGGCACAGAUCCAGCAGCGCUGGUUAUGGGGUACAGUGCAGAAGUGAUGGUUAUAGGAUUUAACUGUCCAUCCACUACAUCGGCAAAAACUUUAAAAUCUCCCAUUUAGCUUGCUACCAAACUAAGAUGAGUAAGGAAAUAUAGGUAGGAAAGUUUUCUUUAAGAUAUAAACAAAUUGUAUGAGACCUAAGGCAGAAUCCUGAAAAGAAAUAUAUGACAUAGAUAUGCAGAAGAACACAAAGUUAAGAAAAUACAACUCACUUCAUAGAAUAAAGAAGUACGUUCCAUAUUCACUGGUAAAGGUGAAGCCUAACAAGGCCAUGCUUUUUUCCCAGUCGCUGAAUCAAAUCUAAUCUCUAUCAAGACUUUAAAUGUGUUACAUGACUUUCGGCAUGAUUGCUCAAUUGUCCUCGCUGGAAUAGAUCACUGAUUUUAUCCCUGGAAAACUCCCGUCUACGUUAUUUCCCUAAACAGUCCCUACACGCUCUUCAAACCAGCGUAACUGUCCCCUCAUCUGUGACACCUGACCUGAUGCACAUCUGGGCCACCUGGCACUUUCUAGAAUGAACGCUAAAUAGUUAUAUAUGUACAUACAAGCAUGUCCAAACAGGACUACUUCUGGGACUGAGAAACUGCAGUAAUCAUGCUACAUGUGUCAGAAUGCCCGUAUCUAGGAAUCUAACCAUGGGUGUGUGA
Equus caballus (horse) is the source of this 2049-nucleotide long non-coding RNA. NCBI's taxonomy places the organism in Eukaryota, Metazoa, Chordata, Mammalia, Perissodactyla, Equidae. The record is from Ensembl.